AGGGCAGAGAGCACAGGAAUCUGA
RNAcentral lists this non-coding RNA (24 nucleotides) under Macaca fascicularis (crab-eating macaque). The record is from RNAcentral. Lineage: Eukaryota; Metazoa; Chordata; Mammalia; Primates; Cercopithecidae.